RNAcentral lists this ribosomal RNA (460 nucleotides) under uncultured bacterium. RNAcentral's name for it is "partial 16S ribosomal RNA". It matches the Rfam family "Bacterial small subunit ribosomal RNA", at positions 338 to 795 of the family's 1533-position model. The record is from RNAcentral.
CCUACGGGUGGCAGCAGUGAGGAAUAUUGGUCAAUGGACGAGAGUCUGAACCAGCCAAGUAGCGUGAAGGAUGACUGCCCUAUGGGUUGUAAACUUCUUUUAUAUGGGAAUAAAAUGUUCCACGUGUGGGAUUUUGUAUGUACCAUAUGAAUAAGGAUCGGCUAACUCCGUGCCAGCAGCCGCGGUAAUACGGAGGAUCCGAGCGUUAUCCGGAUUUAUUGGGUUUAAAGGGAGCGUAGGUGGAUGGUUAAGUCAGUUGUGAAAGUUUGCGGCUCAACCGUAAAAUUGCAGUUGAAACUGGCAGUCUUGAGUACAGUAGAGGUGGGCGGAAUGCGUGGUGUAGCGGUGAAAUGCUUAGAUAUCACGAAGAACUCCGAUUGCGAAGGCAGUUCACUGGACUGCAACUGACACUGAGGCUCGAAAGUGUGGGUAUCAAACAGGAUUAGAUACCCCAGUAGUC